UGAUGUAGUGCCAGAUCAGGGGGUUUGGUGCGGCUGGCACUGGCGCAGUGGUGUGCCUCAUUGCUUUCAAUACCUGUUAGACUCAUUGAGGUGACCCUUGCUUGCUGAAGUUAUCCAUUCCUGAGACACAGAGGGUGUUUUUGUUUGUAGAGCUGCAUUUUUUCAGAGAUUCAGGAACACAAAAUAUAAGCAGCAAAACUAUUUUGUAACCCGUCUCUUGUACUGUUGUGUUGCAGCUGAACAGAUUCUACCACAAAUCCUUGUGUCUUCCUCACAAAUUCUUUUUCAUCCUGCAGAGUGCCUCCUUCAGCUUCCAAUGCCAGAAGCAGCUCUUGUUCCUUGCUAGCCAUAUGCAAGACUGGCCAAUAUGUCAUCCCCUCCUUUAUGUGGCUGUGCAGCUGUGGCAAGUCAGCAGUGCUGCUGGGUGAAAAACCCUGUGUGGCACUGACCUACGAUGAUCUAAAUCAGCCUUUCACUUACUAUUUUAGGCUGAAACAGUGUUAGGCUUCUGCAGAAAUCCAGCUGGGCUCUGGAAACUGCUGGUCAGGUUUGGUUAUCCUGCAACCAGCAGGACUGAGAGCUUUGUUGUAAAAAUAAGUAUGUGGCAUGCACACACAUUUGAGAACCAACUGCCUUUUAAGGCUACUGGAAGUCUUUAUUUCCCGACUUUAAAAUGGACCUUUUAUGGCAGAUCUCUCCCUCUCCCCCUCUUUUUGGUCUGUGCAACCUUCCUAACUUUGAGGGUGAAUUCCUGCAGUUCUGUUAGGCAAACCUGUCAUUGCCUACAGUAGCCACCAUUCAGCAGGAGUUCUGACUGAGUGAGGCCUCUCAGCAGGUAGCUUAUAUUACAGUAUCAUGCAUGCAGUUGUUUGCUUAGGGUAAGCGUGUCUUACUGGAGGUUCCUGUAGAAGGUGGGCAAAGCACGUGAAACUAUGGAUUUUUUUACUUUAAUAACUUUUUAUCGAACCACUUCUCCACACUCUAUUGUGAAGGAUCUAAACCACAUAUUCAUAAAUCACAGCUUUUACAAAGAGCAGCACAAAAAGGCAAAGGGGAGCAGACUGACAAUGCAAGUGAAUAAACACAAACUCCAAUAAUGAAAUGUUGGCUUGUAUAUACUGGCAUUUAAAGUCCAUCCCAUAAAAUGUAAUCAAGUGAACGUUUGUGAUAUGAACACAAACCCCCAGAGAGAUCCUCUAUUAAAAAAAAAA
Molecule: long non-coding RNA, 1211 nt
Filed under: Strigops habroptila (Kakapo)
Lineage: Eukaryota; Metazoa; Chordata; Aves; Psittaciformes; Psittacidae
Description: lncRNA (ENSSHBG00005014474.1)
Source: RNAcentral